RNAcentral lists this ribosomal RNA (472 nucleotides) under uncultured soil bacterium. Its description in RNAcentral is "bacterial SSU rRNA". It matches the Rfam family "Bacterial small subunit ribosomal RNA", at positions 26 to 541 of the family's 1533-position model. The record is from RNAcentral.
AGAACGAACGCUGGCGGCAUGCCUAAUACAUGCAAGUCGAACGAACUCUUCGGAGUUAGUGGCGCACGGGUGCGUAACGCGUGGGAAUCUGCCCCUUGGUUCGGAAUAACAGUUGGAAACGACUGCUAAUACCGGAUGAUGACGAAAGUCCAAAGAUUUAUCGCCAAGGGAUGAGCCCGCGUAGGAUUAGCUAGUUGGUGAGGUAAAGGCUCACCAAGGCAACGAUCCUUAGCUGGUCUGAGAGGAUGAUCAGCCACACUGGGACUGAGACACGGCCCAGACUCCUACGGGAGGCAGCAGUAGGGAAUAUGGACAAUGGGCGAAAGCCUGAUCCAGCAAUGCGCGUGAGUGAUGAAGGCCUUAGGUUGUAAAGCUACUUUACCCGAGAUGAUAAUAGACAAGUAUACGGGAGAAAUAACGCCCCGGACUAACCUCCGUAGCCAGCAGCCGUCGGAAUCGUGACGGUCGGCGU